RNAcentral lists this ribosomal RNA (447 nucleotides) under uncultured bacterium. Its description in RNAcentral is "partial 16S ribosomal RNA". It matches the Rfam family "Bacterial small subunit ribosomal RNA", at positions 28 to 523 of the family's 1533-position model. The record is from RNAcentral.
GACGAACGCUGGCGGUAGGCUUAACACAUGCAAGUCGAGCGCGUAGCAAUACGAGCGGCAGACGGGUGAGUAACGCGUGGGAACGUGCCUUUUGGUUCGGAACAACUGAGGGAAACUUCAGCUAAUACCGGAUAAGCCCCGAGGGGGAAAGAUUUAUCGCCAAAAGAUCGGCCCGCGUCAGAUUAGGUAGUUGGUGGGGUAAUGGCCUACCAAGCCGACGAUCUGUAGGUGGUCUGAGAGGAUGAUCACCCACACUGGGACUGAGACACGGCCCAGACUCCUACGGGGGGCAGCAGUGGGGAAUAUUGGACAAUGGGCGCAAGCCUGAUCCAGCCAUGCCGCGUGGAUGAAGAAGGCCCUAGGGUUGUAAAGUCCUUUCGACGGAGACGAUAAUGACGGUAUCCGUAGAAGAAGCCCCGGCUAAUUUCGUGCCAGCCGCCGCGGUAA